RNAcentral lists this transfer RNA (74 nucleotides) under Flavobacteriales bacterium. RNAcentral's name for it is "tRNA-Thr". It matches the Rfam family "tRNA". From Rfam's summary of the family: Transfer RNA (tRNA) molecules are approximately 80 nucleotides in length. Their secondary structure includes four short double-helical elements and three loops (D, anti-codon, and T loops). RNAcentral also lists the same sequence under 2 other names. Lineage: Bacteria; Pseudomonadati; Bacteroidota; Flavobacteriia; Flavobacteriales. The record is from RNAcentral.
GCCGGUGUAGCUCAGUUGGCCAGAGCACGUGAUUUGUAAUCUCGGGGUCGGGGGUUCGAAUCCCUCCACCGGCU